Long non-coding RNA from Peromyscus leucopus (white-footed mouse), 1017 nucleotides. RefSeq lists it as uncharacterized. The transcript is spliced from 2 exons. NCBI's taxonomy places the organism in Eukaryota, Metazoa, Chordata, Mammalia, Rodentia, Cricetidae. The record is from RefSeq and is a predicted model, not a curated record.
ACUACAGUGGAUUCCUGUACUUAGCGAGACAAAGUGAUGGCAGCCCUAGGCGACUGCAAAGGACCCAGGGCUGAAGAGCUGGUCUCAUUCUCCUCCUCCACACUAAGACGCCCCUCUCCUGAACCCACAGUAACAGGACUCUCUUGCAAGCCAGUCCGUCCCUUCCGGUCGGUUCGCCUUGCUCCUGGGACACACUCACUGUAUACCCAGUUUGCUCCAUCCUGCGGACCCCUCCUCCACUCCCUUCCCUCACGACCGCAUUUGGGUUGGAACCGCCAAGAGGUUUCUACGGACCACAUGGCCAUGCCUGGAAGAACUGAGGACUCCUGAGUGAAGAAUGCUAUUAAGUCACGCAGCCUCUAGGAAGGUUCCCAUCUAGGCGGCAGGGACCCUCCCCACACCCAGCAAUGGGCAGAAGUCCUGAGAGUGAGGCGGGGGCAGAUGUUCACCCCUUUGGCUUGUGAGAAAACGCCUGAAGGUCUUCCCUCCUGUCUAUUUUAAUUUUUUUUCCUAAAAAAUCUGGCUAGGCUCACAAAGAACGCUGGGGUGAGGCCGGCAUGGGAGUGGAGCUAAGGAUCCAGCUUCAGAGUCAGUGAAAUGAACUGCCUCCUCCCGCAGCUUGACCCGAUCCUUCCAGGUCCGGUGUCAUCUCCUAACUAUCGUGGCCUCCUAACUAUCGGAUCCAUCGGCUCGCCUUGCUGCAGACAUGGCGACGACGUGCCUCCUUCCUGGGUCUCCCGGUGGCUCGGGAAAUCCGCGAGGUCUCGGUCCGCAUCCGGUCCGCUGCAGUCCUUACCCUGCCCGGCGCUCCGCUCCUUUUGUGUUUUGCACACACCUUUCUGCUGAAAAAUUCUCCCUUCGUUAACUCGUAGAUCUUUGAGGACCCUUCUGAAUCCUAGACCUGGUUAUUCCUUCUUCUAUCCUCAGAGCCAAAGAAAAAAAAAAAGAACGUUUUUUCCUUCACAACAUUUCUCACUGUACUAUGCCUAUUUGAUUAGAUUCAUUUAGUGAAAGCUA